This is a non-coding RNA of Camellia sinensis, 1135 nucleotides long. The record is from RefSeq and is a predicted model, not a curated record. NCBI's taxonomy places the organism in Eukaryota, Viridiplantae, Streptophyta, Magnoliopsida, Ericales, Theaceae.
UAUGGAGGAUGAUGAUGAGGUUAGUUUCCAACCUUCUACUACUCUGUUUUCUGCUUUUUUUUCUCUGUUUCUUUAAUUUUCAAAAUGAAAAUAUUCCUCUUGCUAUGAAGAAUUUAUUAAAUUUUUUGUUUACAGUUUGGUAUUUUGUGUGUGUGUGUGUGUGUAGGACUACAAAUAAUCAGAUUUCAAAAUCCUGCUUUUGGACUCCCACAUACUAUUAUUUUGUUUGUUGCCCACUGAUACUAUAUUUCUUGACAGAUUGAUCGCAUUGCUCGUGUUGCAUUUGAGACUAUUCGGAAGCGGGGUACGAAACUCUAUUCUGUUGAUAAAGCAAAUGAUUAUAGACCCAUGAUAAAACUUCCAGCUACAUUGGUCUGGUAUACUGUUUUGCUUGUUAAAUGGAUGCAUGCAAAAAUGGCCUCCACAAAGCUUAACAGUUCUGCACCAUUGCAUGGUGUUCGAUUAGCAUUGCGCACAAGUACGCUUAACUGCUCUGCAACUCAAAAACAUAUUGGAUACUCACCAGUUGUCUCCUUGGAAACACAUCAGAGCUUCUUUGCUUUCUCUCCUAUGCCCCUCCAUCAUCAGGUCCCAACUCUUGCCCAAACUUGAUGACUUCAUGAGGUGCCACCUCAGCAAUUGGGACAACACACUCAUUGACAUUCAACAAAAAACCAAAGAGAUGGCAUUUUUGUCGUCGCUUAACCAAAUUGCAAGUAUUGAAUGGGAGUCAAUGUCUAGGGAAUUCAUGCCUGAAUUCUUUAAGCUGGUGUUGGGAACCCUUUCUCUGCCUAUCAACUUUCCCGGAACAAAUUACCACCGCGGUUUCCAAGCAAGAAAACAUUGUUAGCAUGCUGAGACGACUCGUAGAGGAAAGAAGUGCUUGCCAAGAAACCAAACAUGACAUGCUUGGUCUCCUAAUGAAUGGGGGUGAAGAAAACAGAUAUAAUCUAACAGAUGAAGAGAAAAUUGAUCAAAUGAUAGCAAUUUUGUAUUCUGGAUACGAGACUGUUAUGUAACCAAGUAUUCUUAAAUAUUAAUGGUGUAUUUUCACACCCUACUGUUAUGUAAUAUUUGUGGAUAUGUUAUUUUGUGGGUAAUGGUGAUUGGUGAAUGGGAAAGUGAAUUAAUGAUG